RNAcentral lists this ribosomal RNA (126 nucleotides) under Gongronella butleri. RNAcentral's name for it is "partial small subunit ribosomal RNA". It matches the Rfam family "Eukaryotic small subunit ribosomal RNA", at positions 1657 to 1779 of the family's 1831-position model. The record is from RNAcentral. Lineage: Eukaryota; Fungi; Mucoromycota; Mucoromycetes; Mucorales; Cunninghamellaceae.
CCUUUGUACACACCGCCCGUCGCUACUACCGAUUGAAUGGUCAUAGUGAGCAUGUGGGAUUGACGUCGUCACAGCGGCAACGCUGAGAUGAUGUUGAGAACUAUGGCAAACUAGGCUAUUUAGAGG